GCCGCGGUAAUACGUAGGGGGCAAGCGUUGUCCGGAAUCACUGGGCGUAAAGCGCGCGCAGGCGGCCAUUUGCGUCCGGGGUGAAAUCCUGGAGCUCAACUCCAGAACUGCCUUUGAUACUGGAGAGCUUGAGUUCGGGAGAGGUGAGUGGAACUGCGAGUGUAGAGGUGAAAUUCGUAGAUAUUCGCAAGAACACCAGUGGCGAAGGCGGCUCACUGGCCCGAUACUGACGCUGAGGUGCGAAAGCGUGGGGAGCAAACAG
RNAcentral lists this ribosomal RNA (262 nucleotides) under uncultured bacterium. Its description in RNAcentral is "partial 16S ribosomal RNA". It matches the Rfam family "Bacterial small subunit ribosomal RNA", at positions 514 to 775 of the family's 1533-position model. The record is from RNAcentral.